UACGUAGGGGGCGAGCGUUGUCCGGAGUUACUGGGCGUAAAGCGCACGCAGGCGGUCUGCUAAGUUUGGAGUGACAGUUGGUGGCUUAACUGCCAAAGUGCUUCGAAAACUGACAGACUUGAGGGCUUCAGAGGGACACGGAAUUCCGGGUGGAGUGGUGAAAUGCGUAGAGAUCCGGAGGAACACCAAAGGCGAAGGCAGUGUCCUGGGGAGUACCUGACG
Molecule: ribosomal RNA, 222 nt
Filed under: uncultured bacterium
Lineage: Bacteria
Description: partial 16S ribosomal RNA
Rfam family: Bacterial small subunit ribosomal RNA
Source: RNAcentral